UAGGGAAUCUUCGGCAAUGGACGAAAGUCUGACCGAGCAACGCCGCGUGAGUGAAGAAGGUUUUCGGAUCGUAAAACUCUGUUGUUAGAGAAGAACAAGGACGUUAGUAACUGAACGUCCCCUGACGGUAUCUAACCAGAAAGCCACGGCUAACUACGUGCCCGCAGCCGCGGUAAUACGUAGGUGGCAAGCGUUGUCCGGAUCUAUUGGGCGUAAAGCGAGCGCAGGCGGUUUCUUAAGUCUGAUGUGAAAGCCCCCGGCUCAACCGGGGAGGGUGAUUGGAAACUGGGAGACUUGAGUACAAAAGAGGAGAGUGGAAUUCCAUGUGUAGCGGUGAAAUGCAUAGAUAUAUGGAGGAACACCAGUUGCGAAGGCGGCUCUCUGGUCUGUAACUGACGCUGAGGCUCGAAAGCGUGGGGAGCAAACAGG
Molecule: ribosomal RNA, 429 nt
Filed under: Gemmatimonadota bacterium
Lineage: Bacteria; Pseudomonadati; Gemmatimonadota
Description: Gemmatimonadetes bacterium partial 16S ribosomal RNA
Rfam family: Bacterial small subunit ribosomal RNA
Source: RNAcentral